Long non-coding RNA from Daucus carota subsp. sativus, 4579 nucleotides. RefSeq lists it as uncharacterized. The record is from RefSeq and is a predicted model, not a curated record. Lineage: Eukaryota; Viridiplantae; Streptophyta; Magnoliopsida; Apiales; Apiaceae. The transcript has 5 exons.
AUAUUAUUAUUGGUUUUAGUUGAUUUUUUUCUGAUGAGAUGAAUGAUCUGUGUAGUAUGAGUAUAAUUUUGAUGUGGAAUUAUAAGGUUUAAACAGAUUAUGCAUUCUUCUUCUGUGAUUUCGUAUAUUUUCACGACCCGGAUUUUUCAAAAAUUGUUUAUUGUUAUGAAAGUUAUUUUCUUAGAAAGGAGGAAUAAAAUUUAAUAUUUUAUUCCAGUUUGAUAAUUUUCAAAAAUAUUUGUAUAAAUUAUUUUCCUUGUCAUCGGGGUUAGGGGAAAAUAUCUGUUCAUCGUGCAGUUAUCUGUUACGAGAUUUAAUUGAUUUAUUUGUGUACGAUUAUGUCUGUGUGCAUUUAUUUCUGCUUUUGAUAUUAUUAUAUUACUUUAUUAAAAUUUAUUAUCUUCUUAAAUGGAUAUUAUUUUUGUAAAAAUACAAAGAUAAUUUGAAAACUUAUUUUAAUUGCUUGAUGGUGAUCAUAAAUAUUUUUAGGAGUUUAUAAAAUAUUAAGAAUCUUAUGUCUAUAUGGUCGGAUUUUUAAUUAGUUUCUGAAGCAUCUAACUUCUAAAUUUUGUAUAAGUUUCGAAAAUGCUCUGUAAAUCCCGAAACUUUUAUUUAAUUAGUUUUAUAAUAUUCAUGGAUUUGUAAAAUUAUUUUGGUGAUUUUUCGGGAAUGUUUUAUUAUGAAUAGUAUCUGUAAAUAAGCUAAUUGCGGGUAUUAGCCAGGGAUUGUUCUACAAAAAAUAGGACACGCAGCAGCAUGAGAGUGUGACACGUACCCCUAUAUUCCACCGCCUGUACUCCCUUUCUUCUUUCCUUUUCUUAAUGUCAUCACUUUUGAAACCUCAAGUCUCGGUCUCUCCUACCUCUCGUUCUCUCCCCAACUGAGUGUUCUUUUCCUCCUCCCUGCCUUUUUCAUUCCUGCAGCUGUGUGAUUAAUUGGGGGAGAGUGAAAUUAGGGUUUGUCCGUCUUCACUCAAUCAAAGGAUUUGGACGAGGCGUAUACGACCGAAGACGUUCAGAAAGUCAAACGGUGUUCCAAAGCGAAUGAUGAACGAAUCGAGUAAGUGAAGCAGUGUGGCGAAUAAAGUAUAGCCAGAGAUGGUCUAGAUACUAUGAUAUGCAUAGGUUGUGAGUUGGAAAGAUGAGAUUAAGCUGUGUGUGGAAGCGGAUUUAAGAAAAGCUUAGAGAUGAAUUGCUUGAUUGAGAUUGCGAGUAUGGCUAAGGCUAAGCGAGGAGUCAGAGUUAUAGAAUAUCCAGAGGACAAGUGGAAUAUCCAGGGAGAUUGUCAAGGUUGGUUCUAGAUAGAAUUGUAUUGAUGAGAUUCAGUUGUAAGUCAUAAUUGGAAUAGAUUGACAGUGAUUCUUCUUAUCGAAGAUGAUCUGAGAUUGUAAGAUAUUGUUUAUUGAUAGUGGUUGAUUCUGAUUUCAAUACUGUAACCUGGAUGCGAUCCUGUUUUUAGGGGGUUAAAGUGUUUUCUUUUAAAUCUUUUAUUAAAGUCUUCAAGUUUUAAAUGCUUUGAUUUUUAUUUUCUCCUCAAAAAUACAGGUUUUCAAAAGUGUUUAAAAAUGGGUUUUGUGUGGUGACGUCAGAAUCCAGACCCCCGGAUUCUCGGGCUGUCACAGUUGGUAUCAGAGCAACAGGUUAUAAGUUAUUGAAAUUAGAAUAUAGAUUGUGGUUAUAAGUUUUAUAGAGAAAAAGUGUUCAGUGACCUCAUAUAGAGGUAUUGUGAGACUGUCUGGGGAUAGUCUAGAGAGGUAAUCGGAAUAGAAUCUAGAUAGUUAAUUAAGUUGAGGGUACAUGUUUAGAUAGAUCAUGGUUCCUAAGUCUAGAUACUUGGUUUCUAGUAUGGGGACUGAUUGAGAUAGUGAAUUGUGAUAAGGGUCAGAGUCGGACCUAGUCAAAAGAGUAUUAAUAAUGAAUGAUUAAGUUAAGAAUGAUAAAGAUGCAUGGUUUGGAGUAUUCUGACCAUGUUACAUAUUUGAAAGUGGUUUAUCGUUUGAAUUGAAAUGUAGAAGAAUGGAUGUUGAAUAUGAGAUAUUGUGAAUUAGAAAGAGAAUUUUGUAGAUAGAUGUGAUGUGAAUGAUAGAGAGUAGGUGGAAUUGAGUCUAGUUAUCAGAAGUAAUAUUGUGAGUGAGAUAGAACGUUAGUCUUAACGACGACGCUUCAAGCUAACCGGCAUUUCAUCUGCUAUCAAGAUGAACCUGCUUCAUUGCGAAUGAUAAUGUCUACAAGGAAAUCUUACGAGGCUAUCACGAGUUAAUGAUGAUCGAUUAUCGAGAACGUCGAGAAGAGGACAUACAUUGAACAACGAUUUAUGGAAGUAGAGCAGGAAUUUGAGAAGACCUUGGCAAUAUCUUUCUUCAACAAAAGCUUAUCUUAAUUCUUUUCAUCAUCAUUAAGUCCUUAUUAGGAUACCUUUUCUACAAAAAGUUUUGAUAAAUGAGAUAUUCUAUUUCUCGAAUGACGAGAAAACAUUGGUAUUGAUUAUUGAUAUUGGUAUUGAUUCUUGGUGUGUGAUAAAAGUUAUUGUGAGAAGACAAUGAUAUUUCUUGAUAUUUCUUGAGAUUCUUUGAUAUAUAUCUUGAUUCUCUUGAUAUUCUUUGGUAUUCUUUGAUAUUCCUUGGUAUUACUUCCAUCUGAUUGGGAUGAACAACCCUAUGUAUAGGGGACACAAGGUAUACCUGUCUGUGUGAUAGGAGUUGGAUGGGACGCCAUCACUUGUGUGUGUUGUACUUACAAGAAGGUUAACAACCUUUAGUAGUGUCUAAUAUGGGCACGCAACACUAAGUUCGUUUGAUCAUAUUGAUCUCUCAGUCACUCUCUUAUUUAAACAUGACCUAUUUUGCAAACAUCUUGUUCACAUUCUAAAUCUCAAGGAUUGAUUCUUGGGAAAUGAAUUCUGCAAUUGUGAAAGAUUGAUUCUCCUAUGUCUUUAAAGUUAAAGGUAUGCCAAGGUCAUUUAAAGGUGGGGAAUGAUAUUACGAAGUUUUAGUUCUCUUCGCGGAUUCUGAGGACAGAAUCCUUAUAAGGAGGGUAGAAUGUAACAUCCCAGAUUUUCAGAAUUAGUUUAUUAAUUUAGAAAUAAAUUUUUGAAUAUUAUUAUUGGUUUUAGUUGAUUUUUUUCUGAUGAGAUGAAUGAUCUGUGUAGUAUGAGUAUAAUUUUGAUGUGGAAUUAUAAGGUUUAAACAGAUUAUGCAUUCUUCUUCUGUGAUUUCGUAUAUUUUCACGACCCGGAUUUUUCAAAAAUUGUUUAUUGUUAUGAAAGUUAUUUUCUUAGAAAGGAGGAAUAAAAUUUAAUAUUUUAUUCCAGUUUGAUAAUUUUCAAAAAUAUUUGUAUAAAUUAUUUUCCUUGUCAUCGGGGUUAGGGGAAAAUAUCUGUUCAUCGUGCAGUUAUCUGUUACGAGAUUUAAUUGAUUUAUUUGUGUACGAUUAUGUCUGUGUGCAUUUAUUUCUGCUUUUGAUAUUAUUAUAUUACUUUAUUAAAAUUUAUUAUCUUCUUAAAUGGAUAUUAUUUUUGUAAAAAUACAAAGAUAAUUUGAAAACUUAUUUUAAUUGCUUGAUGGUGAUCAUAAAUAUUUUUAGGAGUUUAUAAAAUAUUAAGAAUCUUAUGUCUAUAUGGUCGGAUUUUUAAUUAGUUUCUGAAGCAUCUAACUUCUAAAUUUUGUAUAAGUUUCGAAAAUGCUCUGUAAAUCCCGAAACUUUUAUUUAAUUAGUUUUAUAAUAUUCAUGGAUUUGUAAAAUUAUUUUGGUGAUUUUUCGGGAAUGUUUUAUUAUGAAUAGUAUCUGUAAAUAAGCUAAUUGCGGGUAUUAGCCAGGGAUUGUUCUACAAAAAAUAGGACACGCAGCAGCAUGAGAGUGUGACACGUACCCCUAUAUUCCACCGCCUGUACUCCCUUUCUUCUUUCCUUUUCUUAAUGUCAUCACUUUUGAAACCUCAAGUCUCGGUCUCUCCUACCUCUCGUUCUCUCCCCAACUGAGUGUUCUUUUCCUCCUCCCUGCCUUUUUCAUUCCUGCAGCUGUGUGAUUAAUUGGGGGAGAGUGAAAUUAGGGUUUGUCCGUCUUCACUCAAUCAAAGGAUUUGGACGAGGCGUAUACGACCGAAGACGUUCAGAAAGUCAAACGGUGUUCCAAAGCGAAUGAGGAACGAAUCGAGUAAGUGAAGCAGUGUGGCGAAUAAAGUAUAGCCAGAGAUGGUCUAGAUACUAUGAUAUGCAUAGGUUGUGAGUUGGAAAGAUGAGAUUAAGCUGUGUGUGGAAGCGGAUUUAAGAAAAGCUUAGAGAUGAAUUGCUUGAUUGAGAUUGCGAGUAUGGCUAAGGCUAAGCGAGGAGUCAGAGUUAUAGAAUAUCCAGAGGACAAGUGGAAUAUCCAGGGAGAUUGUCAAGGUUGGUUCUAGAUAGAAUUGUAUUGAUGAGAUUCAGUUGUAAGUCAUAAUUGGAAUAGAUUGACAGUGAUUCUUCUUAUCGAAGAUGAUCUGAGAUUGUAAGAUAUUGUUUAUUGAUAGUGGUUGAUUCUGAUUUCAAUACUGUAACCUGGAUGCGAUCCUGUUUUUAGGGGGUUAAAGUGUUUUCUUUUAAAUCUUU